CUUCGACUGUUUAACAAAUUUAGUAUUGGGGUAGGAGUCAACCACUGUCAGCUCAUUCUAUAAAUAGGGAACAAUAUCAUUGUUAGACGUAUUAUCUGAACUCCGAUAAAGUCUUGACUCGUAACAGUUUGGCUGGAGAAGUACCAUUCUUUGAGGUCUCUAGAGCACAUCUUAUAUUGCCGCUAAACUUUUCUCAUUCAAACGGAAGCAGGUAGAAGAAGAAAUCACUUCCAAAGAUUUUUUUUGCAACAUAAAUCAAGUCAUGCAACCCAACAUUUUAAAUACUUUUAGUUGGAGAUUUGAGAUAUAUUAUAACUUUCCUUCAAAGAAUUCAAGAUAUAAAUAUUUAAAGAUGGCGCAGGCUAUAUCAAAGGUUUUUACCAUACACUUGGAGAUAUACUGAAACUUCCAACUAAAGAAUUGAAGGUUAUAUCAAUUUGAAGAUUUCAAGACUAUUAUGGGGGCUUCUUAUUGGCUUUCAAUUGAAGACUUGGUGCUCGGAAGAAUUUAACUUGCAGAUUUCAACUUGAAGGCAUGGAAGACUUGAAGGCUUCUACUUGAAGACUUGACAGAUUUGAAGACUUCAACUUGAAGACUUAGUGGAUUUGAAGACUUUAACUUGAUGAUUCAACUUGAAAAUUUUGCAGCCUGCUAAAGACUAUAAUUGUCUCGAAGAUACCAAUCUCGGUGAAGAGGAUCAAGUCAUUAUGCAGUUUAUAAUAAGUGAGUUAUUUUUAAUACUUUAUGGAUUUGAAGACUUGGCGGACUUGAAUAUUGUAACUUUAAGACCUAGCGGGCUUGGAUACUUCAAAUUGAUGAUGUAAUAGACUUGAUAAAUUCAACUUGACUUAGAAUUGGAGCCUUCAACUUUGAAUAUUAAGCCUCUUAUUAAAGAAAUGACAAUC
This is a long non-coding RNA of Nicotiana tabacum (common tobacco), 905 nucleotides long. RefSeq lists it as uncharacterized. NCBI's taxonomy places the organism in Eukaryota, Viridiplantae, Streptophyta, Magnoliopsida, Solanales, Solanaceae. The record is from RefSeq and is a predicted model, not a curated record.